This is a long non-coding RNA of Erinaceus europaeus (western European hedgehog), 559 nucleotides long. RefSeq lists it as uncharacterized. The transcript is spliced from 2 exons. The record is from RefSeq and is a predicted model, not a curated record. Lineage: Eukaryota; Metazoa; Chordata; Mammalia; Eulipotyphla; Erinaceidae.
GCCCGGGUAGAGGACUUAGCCAGGCUGCUCUCCACCAGCUCAUCAUCGAACUUCUUCCUCUUGAUGAACCUGCAGGGAGUGGAACCCAGUGAGGACAAAGAACAGUUAUGUUCUGCCCCUAAGGCUGAGAUGACGGUCCCAAAGCCACCGGUUCCAAACCACAGGGCUAGGAGGAGGGGUCCCAAAGGCUCAUCCAAGGAUUCUGACCAGGGAAGCUCAGAGGCUGAGAAAAGAUUCUGAAAAGGAGAAAUGACACUUAGAGGCUGAGAAUUUCAACUGGCCAGCUUCACCUCUGAAGACUGGAUCAGGUCCCCCAGGGUUCCACAUACCAGGGAAGAAAUAGAAGACAGAGUGCUAUAUCCUACCAAUAUGAUCCUGAUAGCCAAUAACCUUUUAAGGGCCACUGACAUCUUUGAGAAUAUGUUCAAAGCUAUGGAUUCCAGAAAACUGCACAGCCACAAUUUUAGACGGCUCACAGAUGUUCCUGAAUCUAUUCAUAGUCCCGACAUUAAGAAUAUUGACUAUAGACUGGCAAGAAAUAAAAGAUUUUUGGCUCAUU